Molecule: ribosomal RNA, 492 nt
Filed under: uncultured bacterium
Lineage: Bacteria
Description: partial 16S ribosomal RNA
Rfam family: Bacterial small subunit ribosomal RNA
Source: RNAcentral
AGUGAACGCUGGCGGUAGGCCUAACACAUGCAAGUCGAACGGCAGCACAGUAAGAGCUUGCUCUUACGGGUGGCGAGUGGCGGACGGGUGAGGAAUACAUCGGAAUCUACUUUUUCGUGGGGGAUAACGUAGGGAAACUUACGCUAAUACCGCAUACGACCUACGGGUGAAAGCAGGGGAUCUUCGGACCUUGCGCGAUUGAAUGAGCCGAUGUCGGAUUAGCUAGUUGGCGGGGUAAAGGCCCACCAAGGCGACGAUCCGUAGCUGGUCUGAGAGGAUGAUCAGCCACACUGGAACUGAGACACGGUCCAGGCUCCUACGGGAGGCAGCAGUGGGGAAUAUUGGACAAUGGGCGCAAGCCUUAUCCAGCCAUACCGCGUGUGCGAAGAAGGCCUUCGGGUUGUAAAGCCCUUUUGUUGGGAAAGAAAAGCAUCAGGUUAAUACCCCGCUGUUCUGACGGUACCCAAAGAAUAAGCACCGGCUAACUUCGUG